UACAGAGGGGGCAAGCGUUAUUCGGAAUUAUUGGGCGUAAAGGGCGCGUAGGCGGCUUGGCAAGUGGAUGGUGAAAUCCCUCGGCUUAACCGAGGAACGGCCGUCCAAACUGCUUCGCUUGAGACCGGGAGAGGUGAGUGGAAUUCCCGGUGUAGCGGUGAAAUGCGUAGAUAUCUGGAGGAACACCGGUGGCGAAGGCGGCAUCCUGGACCGGUAUUGACGCUGAGGCGCGAAAGCUAGGGGAGCAAACGGG
Molecule: ribosomal RNA, 253 nt
Filed under: uncultured bacterium
Lineage: Bacteria
Description: partial 16S ribosomal RNA
Rfam family: Bacterial small subunit ribosomal RNA
Source: RNAcentral